UUGACCUCGGAUCAGGUAGGGAUACCCGCUGAACUUAAGCAUAUCAAUUUUCUCAAGGUUGACCUCGGAUCAGGUAGGGAUACCCGCUGAACUUAAGCAUAUCAAU
Molecule: ribosomal RNA, 106 nt
Filed under: Diplodia seriata
Lineage: Eukaryota; Fungi; Ascomycota; Dothideomycetes; Botryosphaeriales; Botryosphaeriaceae
Description: partial 28S ribosomal RNA
Source: RNAcentral